RNAcentral lists this ribosomal RNA (458 nucleotides) under uncultured bacterium. Its description in RNAcentral is "partial 16S ribosomal RNA". It matches the Rfam family "Bacterial small subunit ribosomal RNA", at positions 338 to 795 of the family's 1533-position model. The record is from RNAcentral.
CCUACGGGGGGCAGCAGUGAGGAAUAUUGGUCAAUGGGCGAGAGCCUGAACCAGCCAAGUCGCGUGAGGGAGUACUGCCCUAUGGGUUGUAAACCUCUUUUGUCGGGGAGCAAAAGCCGGACGUGUCCGGCUGUGAGAGUACCCGAAGAAAAAGCAUCGGCUAACUCCGUGCCAGCAGCCGCGGUAAUACGGAGGAUGCGAGCGUUAUCCGGAUUUAUUGGGGUUAAAGGGUGCGCAGGCGGAUUUUUAAGUCAGCGGUCAAAUCGUGGGGCUCAACCCCAUCCAGCCGUUGAAACUGGGGAUCUAGAGUGUGCGAGAGGUAUGCGGAAUGCGUGGUGUAGCGGUGAAAUGCAUAGAUAUCACGCAGAACCCCGAUUGCGAAGGCAGCAUACCGGUGCACAACUGACGCUCAGGCACGAAAGCGUGGGUAUCGAACAGGAUUAGAUACCCUGGUAGUC